GGGCGCAUAGCUCACUCGCGAGAGCACAGAGCUAAUAACGCUGCGCUCCACGGUUCGAGCGCCUGUGUGACCA
RNAcentral lists this transfer RNA (73 nucleotides) under Phytophthora infestans T30-4. Its description in RNAcentral is "tRNA-Ile for anticodon AAU". The record is from RNAcentral. Lineage: Eukaryota; Oomycota; Peronosporomycetes; Peronosporales; Peronosporaceae.